GAGGCUGAAGCAGAGUGAACAAGGUGGGAAUGUUAAUAAAGUAGGAGGGAUGACAAUAGAGUAGGAGGUAAAGAAAAUCAUAUGGUGACUUAUAAUCAUUUCUAAAAACUUUGCCUUUUAUUCUAAAUGAAAUGGGUACUAGCAGCUUUGGAGGGUUUUGAGCAGAGGAGAAACAUGACCUGAACUACAAAUUGAAAGAACAACUCUGGCUAUUGCAUUGAGUGGACUCUAAGUAGCUCAGAUUCCAGAACAGACUGGUCAGGAGGCUACUGCACACCUCCAAAGGGCUCACACCAGGGAAUUAUCACUGGAAAUGGACAAGAUGAAAUGGUUAAUAUAAGAGGUUGCUGAGAAAACUUUGGACUAGAAUCAGAGUCAUCGCAGAUUGAACACUCACGAUGGCCAAGUACUGCAUAAGCAUUUGGCAUGCAUUAUUUCCUUGAAUGUUUAUAGCAACUGGAGGAGUACAAAAAAAAUACUGAAUAAGGGUUCCCAGAUUUGAUUUUUCUGAAAAACAUUAUUCCUGACAACUGAGAAAUCAAGAACUCAUGAGAACAUUUGAAAAGUCAUUUAGAACUUCACCAUACCACUUGGCAUGUUACAUAUCUCUGUUGUUAAAAAAGCUUUUAGAAUGGAGUCCUGCAAGCUAUUUGGUACUUAUCACUUUGAGGAGCAGAGCUUACUGUUAAUUACCACUCAGCUCUGAUCACAACUGCAAGAUCACAUUUGUUAAGGAACUAUCUCAUAUCUACCUUCUCGCGUGACUCUAAGCUUGAUGAUGUCAAGGGACAUGUCUGUGUUCAGCACAAAUAAAACUGAGAACCAGAACUCGUGUCUAAGGAGGCAAACUCCUAACAAGUGGAGGGGCAUUUUUUGGUGAGCACAAAUCCUCUCUCCUCAAACAUCCACCUAUUGAAGCAUGUAUUGAUGAUGGAUAUGACUAGGCUGUGGCAGAGUUGAAAUACUCUGCAUAGAGAGACAAGGAUACAGAGAGCCUGGGAGGAGGAUCCAGAAGAAGGAUGAGAUUGAUGAGUGCCCAUGGGGAAGGAUGAGAGGAAAAGAGAGAGACUAAGAGAUACAGAAGCUGAAAGGGAGUUGCUGGGACGAAGAGAUGUUCUGUUCUAAUAAACAUUUGCUGAAUGGA
Molecule: long non-coding RNA, 1144 nt
Organism: Canis lupus familiaris (dog)
Lineage: Eukaryota; Metazoa; Chordata; Mammalia; Carnivora; Canidae
Exons: 6
Source: RefSeq, a predicted model, not a curated record